UGCUUACACAUGCAAGUCGAGCGGUAAGGCCCUUCGGGGUACACGAGCGGCGAACGGGUGAGUAACACGUGAGCAACCUGCCCCUGACUCUGGGAUAAGCGGUGGAAACGCCGUCUAAUACCGGAUACGACCUUCCGCCUCAUGGUGGAGGGUGGAAAGUUUUUUCGGUCAGGGAUGGGCUCGCGGCCUAUCAGCUUGUUGGUGGGGUAACGGCCUACCAAGGCGAUUACGGGUAGCCGGCCUGAGAGGGCGACCGGCCACACUGGGACUGAGACACGGCCCAGACUCCUGCGGGAGGCAGCAGUGGGGAAUAUUGCGCAAUGGGCGAAAGCCUGACGCAGCGACGCCGCGUGGGGGAUGACGGCCUUCGGGUUGUAAACCUCUUUUACCACCAACGCAGGCUCCGGGUUCUCUCGGGGUUGACGGUAGGUGGGGAAUAAGGACCGGCUAACUACGUGCCAGCAGCCGCGGUAAUACGUAGGGUCCGAGCGUUGUCCGGAAUUAUUGGGCGUAAAGAGCUCGUAGGCGGCGUGUCGCGUCUGCUGUGAAAGACCGGGGCUUAACUCCGGUUCUGCAGUGGAUACGGGCAUGCUAGAGGUAGGUAGGGGAGACUGGAAUUCCUGGUGUAGCGGUGAAAUGCGCAGAUAUCAGGAGGAACACCGGUGGCGAAGGCGGGUCUCUGGGCCUUACCUGACGCUGAGGAGCGAAAGCAUGGGGAGCGAACAGGAUUAGAUACCCUGGUAGUCCAUGCCGUAAACGUUGGGCGCUAGGUGUGGGGACUUU
This 783-nucleotide ribosomal RNA is filed under the name Prauseria sp. G2-3. Its description in RNAcentral is "bacterial SSU rRNA". It matches the Rfam family "Bacterial small subunit ribosomal RNA", at positions 45 to 832 of the family's 1533-position model. The record is from RNAcentral. Lineage: Bacteria; Bacillati; Actinomycetota; Actinomycetes; Pseudonocardiales; Pseudonocardiaceae.